RNAcentral lists this ribosomal RNA (402 nucleotides) under uncultured bacterium. RNAcentral describes it as "partial 16S ribosomal RNA". It matches the Rfam family "Bacterial small subunit ribosomal RNA", at positions 30 to 526 of the family's 1533-position model. The record is from RNAcentral.
AUUGAACGCUGGCGGCAGGCCUAACACAUGCAAGUCGAGCGAGCGGCGGACGGGUGAGUAAUGUAUGGGGACUGCCCGAUAGAGGGGGAUAACUACUGGAAACGGUAGCUAAUACCGCAUACUAUCGGAUUACCCAUAUGGAUUAGCUCGUAGGUGGGGUAAUGGCUUACCUAGGCGACGAUCCCUAACUGGUCUGAGAGGAUGAUCACGCAAACUGGGACUGAGACACGGCCCAGACACCUACGGAGGCAGCAGUGGGGAAGAUUGCACAAGGGGCGCAAGCCUGAUGCAGCCAUGCCGCGUGUAUGAAGAGGGCCCUAGGGUUGUAAAGUACUUGCAGGCGGGAGGCGUUACCGACAGAGGAAGCACCGGCUAACUCCGUGCCAGCAGCCGCGGUAAUAC